Molecule: ribosomal RNA, 272 nt
Filed under: uncultured Burkholderiales bacterium
Lineage: Bacteria; Pseudomonadati; Pseudomonadota; Betaproteobacteria; Burkholderiales
Description: partial 16S ribosomal RNA
Rfam family: Bacterial small subunit ribosomal RNA
Source: RNAcentral
UACGUGGGGUGCGAGCGUUAAUCGGAAUUACUGGGCGUAAAGCGUGCGCAGGCGGUUAUGUAAGACAGAUGUGAAAUCCCCGGGCUCAACCUGGGAACUGCAUUAGUGACUGCAUAGCUGGAGUACGGCAGAGGGGGAUGGAAUUCCGCGUGUAGCAGUGAAAUGCGUAGAUAUGCGGAGGAACACCGAUGGCGAAGGCAAUCCCCUGGGCCUGUACUGACGCUCAUGCACGAAAGCGUGGGGAGCAAACAGGAUUAGAUACCCUGGUAGUC